CGGACGGGUGAGUAACGCGUGGGUAACCUGCCUUGCACUGGGGGAUAACACUUAGAAAUAGGUGCUAAUACCGCAUAAGCGCACGGUCCUGCAUGGGACAGUGUGAAAAACUCCGGUGGUGCAAGAUGGACCCGCGUCUGAUUAGCUGGUUGGCGGGGUAAAGGCCCACCAAGGCGACGAUCAGUAGCCGGCCUGAGAGGGUGGACGGCCACAUUGAGACUGAGACGCGGCCCAAACUCCUACGGGAGGCAGCAG
RNAcentral lists this ribosomal RNA (255 nucleotides) under uncultured bacterium. RNAcentral describes it as "partial 16S ribosomal RNA". It matches the Rfam family "Bacterial small subunit ribosomal RNA", at positions 99 to 354 of the family's 1533-position model. The record is from RNAcentral.